GCUGGCGGCACGCCUAACACAUGCAAGUCGAACGAAGUAGCAAUACUUAGUGGCAGACGGGUGAGUAACAUGUAGGUAUCUGCCCUUUGGCCUGGAAUAACACGAGGAAACUUGUGCUAAUACCGGAUAAGUCUUUACGGAGAAAGCUUUAUGCACCAUUGGAUGAGCCUGCACUUGAUUAGUUUGUUGGUGGGGUAAUGGCCUACCAAGACUGUGAUCAAUAGCUGAUUUGAGAGGAUGAUCAGCCACAUUGGGACUGAGACACGGCCCAAACUCCUACGGGAGGCAGCAGUGGGGAAUCUUGCACAAUGGAGGAAACUCUGAUGCAGCGAUGCCGCGUGAGUGAAGAAGGCCCUUGGGUUGUAAAGCUCUUUCGUCGGGGAAGAAAAUGACUGUACCCGAAUAAGAAGGUCCGGCUAACUUCGUGCCAGCAGCCGCGGUAAUACGAAGGGACCUAGCGUAGUUCGGAAUUACUGGGCUUAAAGAGUUCGUAGGUGGUUGAAAAAGUUAGUGGUGAAAUCCCAGAGCUUAACUCUGGAACUGCCAUUAAAACUUUUCAGCUAGAGUAUGAUAGAGGAAAGCAGAAUUUCUAGUGUAGAGGUGAAAUUCGUAGAUUAUUAGAAAGAAUACCAAUUGCGAAAGGCAGGCUUUCUGGAUCAUUACUGACACUGAGGGAACGAAAGCAUGGGGUAGCGAAGAGGAUUAAGAUACCCUCGUAGUCCAUGCCGUAAACGAUGUGUGUUAGACGUUGGAAAUUUAUUUUUCAGUGUCGCAGGGAAACCGAUAAACACACCGCCUGGGGAGUACGACCGCAAGGUUAAAACUCAAAUGAAUUGACGGGGACCCGCACAAGUAGUGGAGCAUGUGGUUUAAUUCGAAGAUACGCGCAGAACCUUACCAACACUUGACAUGUUCGUCGCGACUCUAAGAGAUUAGAGUUUUCGGUUCGGCCGGACGAAACACAGGUGCUGCAUGGCUGUCGUCAGCUCGUGUCGUGAGAUGUUGGGUUAAGUCCCGCAACGAGCGCAACCCUCACUUUUAGUUGCCAUCAUUAAGUUGGGCACUCUGAAAGAACUGCCAGUGAUAAGCUGGAGGAAGGUGGGGAUGACGUCAAGUCCUCAUGGCCCUUACGUGUUGGGCUACACACGUGCUACAAUGGUAUCUACAACAGGAAGCAAGACUGCGAAGUUAAGCAAAUCCCUAAAAGAUACCUCAGUUCGGAUUGCACUCUGCAACUCGAGUGCAUGAAGCUGGAAUUACUAGUAAUCGUGGAUCAGCGUGCCACGGUGAAUGCGUUCCCGGGUCUUGUACACACCGCCCGUCACACCAUGGGAGUUGGUUCUACCUUAAGGCAAGGUU
Molecule: ribosomal RNA, 1359 nt
Filed under: uncultured Alphaproteobacteria bacterium
Lineage: Bacteria; Pseudomonadati; Pseudomonadota; Alphaproteobacteria
Description: bacterial SSU rRNA
Rfam family: Bacterial small subunit ribosomal RNA
Source: RNAcentral